UAGCAUCGUGCCCGCACGUGGUGCCACCCCGAUCCAGGCGGAGGGGGUGGAGAAUUGGGAAAGCGGUACGCGGAAGGCUCAUAGCCCCGCAAAGCCGCUGCUGCCCCCGCAACGGUGUGGAAGCUUAAAGGCCGUCGAAACCACUGGGUCGGAAGACCUGGGAAGGGACGGCCCCCGGUCCGGAUCUCCGGUCCGGCUUCCGAGCCCGGAUACCAGCCCGUGACAUGACCGGCAG
Molecule: regulatory RNA element, 235 nt
Organism: Tistrella mobilis KA081020-065
Lineage: Bacteria; Pseudomonadati; Pseudomonadota; Alphaproteobacteria; Geminicoccales; Geminicoccaceae
Source: Rfam